This 2387-nucleotide ribosomal RNA is filed under the name Triticum aestivum (bread wheat). RNAcentral's name for it is "partial small subunit ribosomal RNA". Lineage: Eukaryota; Viridiplantae; Streptophyta; Magnoliopsida; Poales; Poaceae. The record is from RNAcentral.
GGAAAAUCCCCAUUUUAGUUCCGUAAUAUAAUUUUCUCAGCACUAUUAUCAGUACACUUGCAGUACCAGAACAACGAGAGCAUAAGUAUGGCCAAGAUGAUAUGAAAGUAGUUAGGUUCAUCAAAGUGGCAAAAGCUAAGAUGCACCCUCUGUCAUUCACACGCACAUCGGUGUGCAUGUAGAUGAUAUUGAUGCAUAUCCAUACAAACUUAUUCCUAGGAUCCACCGAGACCACACAAGUGCCUGCAUAAAUGUAAAGCAAGAGCAGUCCUCUCUCUCUCUGUCUCUCUCUCAACCCUUAGCUUGCAAUUCUCCCCUCUUCAUGCAUGCAUGUCUACACAAAAGCUAUGCUAUAUACUCUAUGAUAUACAUACAUAUAUACUUGCAAGCAGUAGUAGUUAGUUAGCUCUCUCUCACACAGGCAUACUUUUACAGCUGUGCUACAUACUGAUGAUGGCGUCCCAUGAACCCCACCACCACCUCCUCGGCUUCUCCUCCUCGUCGCCGGUGACUCCUAACCCUGCCGCCAUGGCCAUGGCCUUCGACCACCACGGCGUCUUCGCCCCACUCCACGAGGACAUGCCUCCGCGAUUCGGAGGUGCCGAUGACAGGUCAUGGCUGCCGCAAUCGUCGACGCUCUCUCUCUACGACACGGUCGGCCAGCAUGAGCUGCAACCUUUCACGGUGGCGCCGCCGUCCAUGAUGCCCAUGCAGCAGCCGCCCUUCCGGUUAAAUAGCUCCAGGUACCUGGGCCCCGCGAGGGAGCUGCUCAGCGAGUUCUGCAACCUCGAAGGUGAUGCCAUGAACGGCGGCGCGAUGAUGCGAGCUCCGAAGCAGGACGGUGAAGUGGAGGCGUCGUCACCGGCAUGUGGCCCAUGGGGCGCCAAUCCGUCUGUGAGCUCCAUGGAUUACAUGGCGCUCGAGAGGAGGAAGGCCAGGCUCCUGUCCAUGAUUGAGGAGGUGGACAGGUGCUACUGGCGAUACCGUGAGAAAAUGCGGGCGACAGAGAUGUCAUUCGAGGCUGUGGCCGGCGUGGGGGCAGCACAAGUGUACACGAAGAUGGCGAUGCGUGCCAUGUCACGCCACUUCCGGUGCCUGAGGGAUGCGCUCGUGGGGCAGAUACGAACUUUGAAGAAGUCAAUGGGGGAGAGCAGGGAUGCCGACGGCAUGUUGGUAGCACCGGGUGCAUCAAAAGGGGACACGCCGAGGCUAAGGGUUGUGGACCAAUGCCUGAGGCGGCAAAGGGCGUUCCAGCAAUAUGGUGGUGGUGCCGCCAUUGAGAGCUGUCCGUGGCGGCCCCAGCGCGGCUUGCCAGAGCGCGCCGUCGCCGUCCUCCGCUCGUGGCUCUUCGAGCACUUCCUCCACCCGUAUCCGAAUGACGUAGACAAGCACAUUCUGGCGCGCCAAUCCGGGUUAUCAAGAAGCCAGGUUUCCAACUGGUUCAUCAAUGCAAGGGUUAGGCUAUGGAAGCCCAUGAUAGAGGAGAUGUACGCGGAAGAAACCAUACAACAUGACGACGGUGGCACUAGCAGUGGCAGAGGCGAACCUGCUCCCACGGAUCAUCACAACAACAACUUGGCAGCAUGCACGACGGUUACGAUAACAGGAGAUCAAAAUUGCCAUCGCCUUAGCGGCAGAAACAACCCUGGUGACUGCUUCAUCCCAUCCUCCCUGGUUGUGGACGGCGGGAAAUUUCUCCAUGGCUACCCAAGUUUGCGCAGUGAUAGCGGCAGCGGCGUGGUGUCGCUUACCUUGGGACUCCAGCAGCAACAGGCGUUUGCUUCACCGGCGAUGAUCAUGCAACAACAAUCGUCGCUCAUGAUUGGAGCUGAGGGGGAAGACAUGGUGCUACCGUACAGGAACCUCAUGGGGUCUGAGCUGCUGCAUGAUUUCGUAGGCUAGGACCCUAGGAGACAAGAACAUAAUCUAAUGCUACAACCCAUAUAGGUGCCACCAGAUUCUUAGGCAACUUGCACCGAUUGAUUGGAUAUGUGUAUAUUGUAGUACAACUUAAGUAAAAAAGUUAAUUAUAAAUGGCUAUGACCACUAUUUAUUUAUUUCGUGCCCGGAAACUUGUAGUAAGCCCUAGGGCAUUAGUAAGAACUAAUGAAUGAGGUCUCAACGUAAAAAUACCUAUGUCCAAAUGUGGUUGGAUGCCACGUCGACCUUAGAUUGUCGUUCUUUUGUCCUAUAUAUAUGCUUUGUUUGCUUCUUCUCUUGACUGCUAAAAAUUCUUCUCAAAAUCUAGUGAAGCAUUAAUUUGAGAUCAUAUAACAUACUUCACAAAAUAUUGCAACCAUUUCAACCUUUCCUUGAAAAUUCUUAUUUUGUUAACUAUUUUCAGAAUCCAGGUGGAUAUUUUUGGUUGAAAUAGAUGAACAUUCGGC